This is a long non-coding RNA of Apteryx haastii (Great spotted kiwi), 1672 nucleotides long. The record is from Ensembl. Lineage: Eukaryota; Metazoa; Chordata; Aves; Apterygiformes; Apterygidae.
AUGAAAAUGGAGAGACCGCUGUGCGACUGGAAGGCCGCCAUGUCCAGGUUGGUGAUGAGAUCCACCACGCGCACUGCCCGCGUCACAAAGGUGAUCUGGUCCUGCUCGUCACCUAAAAACUUGAUUACCUUUAAAGAGAUAAGAGCGGUAGAAAUAGGAUCAGGGGAGAAGAUCCAGUCCUCCCUGGGCCUCCCCCCUGGCUGCCCCACUCACCUUGAGCAGCGCCUCCAUCAUGCCACAGGAGACCAGGGCCUCACCGCCGGCAUCGUAGCUGGCCAGGUGAUAGAGAAAGGAAAAGAGGGCAGUGGCGAACUGGUGGGGGUAGGGCUCCAUGGAGGGGUCUGUGGAGAGCGAGGCAGGGCGUCAGGGGGGCCGGGUGCCCCCCCCCCCCCCCCCCUCCCCCACAGGGCAGCAUCGCUGGGGCAAGCGGUGGCGACAAGGCGCCCCGAGGGCCCCGAGGGGCGGGGUGGCCCCCGCCGCCCCUUCCUCGCCCGCGGAAACACCACGUCCCGCGGCGGCGGGGGCGGCCCGGGACUCACCGGCGGGCGGGCGGGCACCUCCCGCGAGACCUGCCGCGAGAUCUCGCGAGGCCGCAACGGGACACAACGGCCGGGGCGGGGCCACGCCAGCUCUCGCGAGAGCCGCGCAGCCGCCGGAACUAUCGCGAGACGCCGGGCGGCGCGCGCGAGGACUAGGGGGGAAAGGGAGGAGCACGGACCAGCGGUGCCUCCCCGGCCGGCAGCGGCGGCCGGGAGAUCUCGCGAGACCGCCGCGCGGCCCGCCCCCUCGCAGGCCCUUCUCGCGAGACUGCCACCUCCCACUGCUCGUGAGACGCAGGCCGGGAGCUGUGCAGGGCCCCGGCGGGUCGGGUCACGUGAUGUACCGGUCCACGCAGGCGCGUGCAGUUUUCUCCGUUUUUUUUUAAUUCUAACGAUAUAAAAGUGGGGGGCGUGGCCUCGCCCGGCUCCUACAAAACAGGGCGGAGCCCAGCCCGGAGUGGGGCAACAGCCAAUGGGGAGCGGCCUCACCCCACCCUCCCAAUCAACCUGAAGACAAGGGGUAGAGGGGAAGGAUUAAAAAAAAAAAACAGCGGCGACCAAUCAGAGGAAGCUCCACCCUUUCCUCAGCCAAUCCUGCAGGGAGAGGUGCAGUGGGGGAAGCCCCGCCCUUUGCUCCAGCAGCAUCCAAUCAAAAGCAGUCCUGCCUUGUCACCAGGCUGCAUCCAAUGCAGAGAGAGGGCAGCAUGGUAGGUGUGGCCAUGCAGAGGCCCCACCCUCCUCUCAGCACUUCCCCUUGCAGUAGAUCCCGAGGCAGGGGCUGAUAGGUGGGUGUGGCCUCUCAGGGAGUGGGCAUGGCCAGGCAGAGGCCUCCACCUCCCUCUCAGCUUCCCCUUGCAGCGGAUGCCAAGGCAGCAGCCAAGGGUGGGUGGGCAUGGCCUUGUGGCAGGUGGGCAUGGCCAUGCAGAGGCACUGCCCCCUCCCACAGGCCCCACCCCCCUCUCAGAGCAGCAGCUUCCCGUUGCGGUGGAUCUUGAGGAUGCGGCCCAGGCGCUGCUUGGCCGUGGCCAGGCCCUUGCGCGGGCGCCGGCCUGGCCCCGCCGCCGCCGUGGGGCCACGCAGCGCCUCAGGGCCGCCCCGGCCACCCACCCGUGCCCCCCACUCACCCGGCAGCG